RNAcentral lists this ribosomal RNA (242 nucleotides) under uncultured bacterium. RNAcentral describes it as "partial 16S ribosomal RNA". It matches the Rfam family "Bacterial small subunit ribosomal RNA", at positions 535 to 776 of the family's 1533-position model. The record is from RNAcentral.
CGAGCGUUAGGCGGAAUCACUGGGCUUAAAGCGUGUGUAGGCGGAGUUCUAAGUACCUUGUGAAAUCCCACGGCUCAACCGUGGAACUGCUUGGUAUACUGGUUCUCUUGAGCCACCUAGGGGCAACCGGAACAAACGGUGGAGCGGUGAAAUGCGUAGAUAUCGUUUGGAACGCCAAUGGUGAAAACAGGUUGCUGGGGGUGUGCUGACGCUGAGACACGAAAGCCAGGGGAGCAAACGGG